RNAcentral lists this ribosomal RNA (408 nucleotides) under uncultured bacterium. Its description in RNAcentral is "bacterial SSU rRNA". It matches the Rfam family "Bacterial small subunit ribosomal RNA", at positions 355 to 775 of the family's 1533-position model. The record is from RNAcentral.
UGGGGAAUAUUGCGCAAUGGGCGAAAGCCUGACGCAGCAACGCCGCGUGAGGGAUGACGGCCCUCGGGUUGUAAACCUCUUUCGGCAGGGACGAAGCGAAAGUGACGGUACCUGCAGAAGAAGCACCGGCUAACUACGUGCCAGCAGCCGCGGUAAUACGUAGGGUGCGAGCGUUGUCCGGAAUUAUUGGGCGUAAAGAGCUUGUAGGUGGUCCUUCACGUCUGCUGUGAAAUCUCAGGGCUCAACCCUGAGCUUGCAGUGGAUACGGGAGGACUCGAGUUCGGCUGGGGAGACUGGAACUCCUGGUGUAGCGGUGGAAUGCGCAGAUAUCAGGAAGAACACCGGUGGCGAAGGCGGGUCUCUGAACCGAUACUGACACUGAGAAGCGAAAGCGUGGGGAGCAAACAG